This 90-nucleotide small nucleolar RNA is filed under the name Ochotona princeps (American pika). RNAcentral's name for it is "Small nucleolar RNA U3 (ENSOPRG00000023373.1)". It matches the Rfam family "Small nucleolar RNA U3". Rfam says of the family: Small nucleolar RNAs (snoRNAs) are involved in the processing and modification of rRNA in the nucleolus. Lineage: Eukaryota; Metazoa; Chordata; Mammalia; Lagomorpha; Ochotonidae. The record is from RNAcentral.
AAGACUAUACUUUCAGGGAUCAUUUCUAUAGUCUGUGACUAGAGAAGUUUCUCUAAUGGGCUGAGUAGACUCCAAAUCCCCCAAACGGGG